This 879-nucleotide long non-coding RNA is filed under the name Volvox carteri. RNAcentral's name for it is "long non-coding RNA (VCAR_LNC000925)". Lineage: Eukaryota; Viridiplantae; Chlorophyta; Chlorophyceae; Chlamydomonadales; Volvocaceae. The record is from RNAcentral.
CUUGGAACUCGGAUGCUACCUGUCGACAACAAGGAGGAAAGCGAAGCAUAUGAUGACGAAGGACAUGGCAUAGGCUUGGGGUCCUUCCAGCUGUAGGCGGUGCAAUGUCUGAUGUCGGGUUGACCACAGGCUGCGCCCAUCGCUCGGGCUCGUAGUUGCAGGUUGCUGGUCGGCAGGAAUCACGGCCCAGCGAGGCUCGGCUAGCUGCAUGUGGGAUAAUUGUGUUUGGCCACGUAGUUGAACAGGGAAGGGCCAUUGGGAAGUCUGAAUGGCGGACACAAUUACUUGGUGCAAGAGCAGCGAUUAUUGCGUCAAGACCCUACGCCCAAAUGGAUCUAUUGAAGUCCGGAGGAAGGGUACUGGAGACUAAACGUAUCCGAGUGGGUGUUGUUGUAGAAAGAAAGCGGUCAGCAGCGCUUGAUGGGCCCGUAAUACCUUACACUACCUAACGUACUGAUAACUACAUGUCAACAUGGCUGCGGAAGACACGUCUUGGUGAUCUCCACCCUACCCGUCACUUGCACCAAAACACGUUGCCUGCCCAGAGCGCCACUUUAAAUUCUUAGCUGAUGCUGCGACGAUCGCCGGAGGCCCGAGGGAGGACUCGCAUGCAGCAGGGCCACACCAGGGAAUGACCGGAGCAGAGACCGAAGCCCAUCAUAUAUUGGUGCAUAUGUUGUUUCUUUGUCAGUAACUCUAGUCAAGUGCCAAGCGAGCUGUCCUCAGCCUUACUAGGAGAUUGCCACACUGAGAUCAGCAUGUAGGCCUUAAAGUUUUAAUAAGGAAGUUUUGAUAAACAUAAUCCCCGUCCUUCGCCUUUGCGGGGCCGAGGAGCCUUCGCAGCCUGUCAGAAUCCAAAAACUAGUUACGACCUUCUGU